Alosa sapidissima (American shad) is the source of this 989-nucleotide long non-coding RNA. RefSeq lists it as uncharacterized. NCBI's taxonomy places the organism in Eukaryota, Metazoa, Chordata, Actinopteri, Clupeiformes, Clupeidae. The record is from RefSeq and is a predicted model, not a curated record. The transcript is spliced from 3 exons.
GCAGUGACUGUGUAGAGAUGUCAAAUAACAUCAAUUAAGACAUGUCCCACUUUCCUACUUACUCUGGCAUAUCAUAGGCCCAUAUUGUAGAGCGAGAAACAAAUUGUUCAGCUCAUACAUUUUGGCCUACACUAUUAAGGGACAGCUGAUUCAACCACCUAAACCAAUCCAUUAACAUUAAUUAGGCCGUCUUCCACCUCCUGAAAUACUUUGGCACACUAUUUUAAAGGCAUAGGCCUGUGUUGUAUAGGUGAACUUUAGUCAUCAGUCAUCAUUAACAUGUCUUUCUAUGUACACUUUUAUUUCUAAUUUCCAGGUUGUCAGCUGUUGUCAGGCUCAUCACCAAAGCAGAAAGACAUAGUGAGACCAGACAUGCCAGGAAAGAGCAAGGCACAGGCCAGGAAGGAGCCAGGCAAAGCCCGGGAAUUUUUUUCCAGCUGUUCCCGCCAGCUAUAGAAGGACUGCUCCUGAGAAUAGAUGGGUGUCUACAUCGUUUUGCAAAAUGGGUCUUCUACACAUGAUGCUUGUCAAGCACUGCUCAUUGACUGGCCAGGGGUCCUCUGUAUUGUGACCACUGGUCAAAGGCGGCACAUGACUGUCUCAGAGUCCUCUACAUCAUUCCGGUGACAGGACUUUUGGCCUAGCCUGACAGGAUGGGUCUUGUGUUACUGUGACCAGACGGCUCAACAAUGCAUCAUUCUCAUCCAUGCCCUCAUCACCUCGAGACUGGACUACUGCAACAGCAUUUUCUAUAUGGUCUUGAAAAUGAUUGUCUUAUUAUUAUUACAGGUCUCUCUGGUCCCGAACCAGCAGGUUCAGAGGAAGUUUCUUUCCUGCGGCUGUCACCCUACUGGACUCAAGCUCUGCAUCCCGGUGACAACCAAUCAACUAAGCCCCCAAUAAACUAAGCCCCCAAUACCCUAUCCCACCCAUAGUGUUCUAUUUAUUUACAAAUGCACAUACUGUAAUUACAGUUAUACAUAGCCAUA